GACGAACGCUGGCGGCGUGCCUAAUACAUGCAAGUCGAGCGAAGUUUUUCUGGUGCUUGCACCGGAAAAACUUAGCGGCGAACGGGUGAGUAACACGUAAAGAACCUGCCUCAUAGACUGGGACAACUAUUGGAAACGAUAGCUAAUACCGGAUAACAGCAUUAACUGCAUGGUUGAUGUUUAAAAGUUGGUUAUGCUAACACUAUGAGAUGGCUUUGCGGUGCAUUAGCUAGUUGGCGGGGUAAAGGCCUACCAAGGCGACGAUGCAUAGCCGACCUGAGAGGGUGAUCGGCCACACUGGGACUGAGACACGGCCCAGACUCCUACGGGAGGCAGCAGUAGGGAAUCUUCCGCAAUGGGCGAAAGCCUGACGGAGCAACGCCGCGUGAGUGAAGAAGGAUUUCGGUUCGUAAAGCUCUGUUGUUAGGGAAGAAUGAUUGUGUAGUAACUAUACACAGUAGAGACGGUACCUAACCAGAAAGCCACGGCUAACUACGUGCCAGCAGCCGCGGUAAUACGUAGGUGGCAAGCGUUGUCCGGAAUUAUUGGGCGUAAAGCGCGCGCAGGUGGUUUAAUAAGUCUGAUGUGAAAGCCCACGGCUCAACCGUGGAGGGUCAUUGGAAACUGUUAAACUUGAGUGCAGGAGAGAAAAGUGGAAUUCCUAGUGUAGCGGUGAAAUGCGUAGAGAUUAGGAGGAACACCAGUGGCGAAGGCGGCUUUUUGGCCUGUAACUGACACUGAGGCGCGAAAGCGUGGGGAGCAAACAGG
RNAcentral lists this ribosomal RNA (768 nucleotides) under uncultured bacterium. RNAcentral's name for it is "bacterial SSU rRNA". It matches the Rfam family "Bacterial small subunit ribosomal RNA", at positions 28 to 776 of the family's 1533-position model. The record is from RNAcentral.